RNAcentral lists this ribosomal RNA (331 nucleotides) under uncultured bacterium. RNAcentral describes it as "bacterial SSU rRNA". It matches the Rfam family "Bacterial small subunit ribosomal RNA", at positions 568 to 898 of the family's 1533-position model. The record is from RNAcentral.
CGUGUAGGCGGGUUAUUAAGUCAGAUGUGAAAUACCGAGGCUCAACUUCGGGGCUGCAUCUGAAACUAAUAAUCUUGAGUGCAGGAGAGGAAAGCGGAAUUCCAAGUGUAGCGGUGAAAUGCGUAGAUAUUUGGAGGAACACCAGUGGCGAAGGCGGCUUUCUGGACUGUAACUGACGCUGAGGCGCGAAAGCGUGGGAGCAAACAGGAUUAGAUACCCUGGUAGUCCACGCCGUAAACGAUGGAUACUAGGUGUAGGAGGUAUCGACCCCUUCUGUGCCGGAGUUAACACAAUAAGUAUCCCACCUGGGGAGUACGGCCGCAAGGUUGAA